AGGACAGGUCAUAAUCCCUGGCUGGCAGGUGCAGAAGGGACAGGCGUCACCCCCACUAGCAGGUGCAGAGGUGCCGUUGCAGCAGUUGGAUGUGAGGCCAAGAAGCAGAAGCUAAGGGAGUGGGUCUGGGGCAUCCCUGGAGCUCAGAAGCCAAGGCCCGUGCCUGCCCCAGGGCUGGUGCCAUACAUAGUUCCAGGCACUGGGGAUGGAGGGUAGCCGAUGGGGCCCUGAGCAGGACGUGCCUCUUCCGGACUUGACCACAGAACCCAAGCAUGGUUCAAGCGAUUCUCCUGCUUCAGCCUCCUGAGUAGUUGGGAUUACAGAUGCCCGCCACCGCACCCAGUCACAGAUGGACUCUGAGAGAGAAAAUAGCACCCCUGUCCAAACGUCACAUGCCUGGCGGAGGAACACAGCCUGGCCUGUGCAGCCGAAUGUCGGAGAGUGCACCUUCCUCUCUUAUUUUGUUUUAUUUCCAGGGAAAGGGAAAGGAAGACAUGCAGUCUCAUUGAAGUCCUUGGGUCACUUUACCCCUGCCCUUGGGUUGAUGGACGAUCAGAUGUCUUCCUUCUCAUGCUGGCUGAGACAUCAAACACCAGAGUGGACUUACUUGGCUCCAGUGCUGGUGAUGGGCACUUCUGGGUGAAUGGAAUCUGGGGUGUAUGUAUACUAGCGAAUUUGCUGGUUCUUAGUGCAGGAUCAUUUGAAAAUUUAUUAUUCUGCCAAAUUGAUCAAAUCACUUUGAACAAUUUAUGCAUGUACUUCAUUACACAAUAGUUUCCAUUUCUGCACAUUCUAACACCUAUUAAUUUUUGCAAAUACUAUAGCCAUAAUAUAACAUCACAUUGUUAUUUUUGAUUUAUGUUUAACUGAAUUCAGGUAAUUUUGUACUGGUGUUCAGAAGAUUGACUUUAGGUUUUCUUACUUGCAAAUUACCUUUUCAUGUGUGUUGCCCAUGUUUUAAUGGGUUGACCUUUUUUAUUGAUGUUACUAUGGACUGAACUGCAUCCCUGCGAGAUUCAUAUGUUGAAGCUCGAGCUCCCAGUACCUCACAAUGGGACUGUAUUUGGAGAUAGGGCCUUUAAACAGGUAAUUAAGUGAAAAUGAGGUCAUAAGGGUGGGCCCUGGUCCAAUAUGGUUGGUGUCCUUAUAAGAAGAGGAAAUGAGGACACACACACACACACACACAGGAAUGACUGCAUGAGACACAGGAAGAGGCCCCAUCUACAAGCCAAGGAGAGCCUCAGGAGGAUCCAGGAAUGACUAAAUUGUCAUCUCAGACUUGUAGCUUCCAGCACUGUGAGAAAAUAAGUUUCUGUUUUUCCAUUAAAAAUUCUGAUUAUUAUUGUUGAAAAUGAGCACAAUGGCUUUUAAAAAAAAAUGUUGGUAUUCUAUCUGACCAUCUGAGUGAAAGCUCUUAUUAGUGUUAGAGUUUUUUUCAGAUUUCUUUGAAUUUUCUGUAUAAAAAUAUUGUCAGUAAUACAAAAUAUAUUAUCUUUUCCCAUACA
Pan troglodytes (chimpanzee) is the source of this 1505-nucleotide long non-coding RNA. RefSeq lists it as uncharacterized. The record is from RefSeq and is a predicted model, not a curated record. NCBI's taxonomy places the organism in Eukaryota, Metazoa, Chordata, Mammalia, Primates, Hominidae. The transcript is spliced from 4 exons.